Pelobates cultripes (western spadefoot toad) is the source of this 269-nucleotide non-coding RNA. NCBI's taxonomy places the organism in Eukaryota, Metazoa, Chordata, Amphibia, Anura, Pelobatidae. The record is from the annotation of a GenBank genome assembly.
GGAUUAGCUACCGCGGGUUACCCACGGAGUGAAGUGUUCAAUGCUUGUUAAGACAGAUGAGCUGCAGGCAGCUAGGGAUACGCUAGGGACAGUGGCAGUUGUUAUGGUAAAUAGCCAUUUUAAGGGGGGACUGUUGUGGAAAUAAGGUCUAUACAUAUUUCUUAAUUAGUAAAAUGUCUAUUUACUCAUCUCACGAAAACCAGUGUAUAAGCUAUACACACAUAUAUUAGUCAAAAUGGCUGCUAGAAGCUUCUAACCCCUCCUCCCCC